AUAGACCCAGGGCAACUUAUUUGAAAAGAUAAGAACGCAAAGCUAAAGGGGCUAAAGCAGUGCUCUGCUAUGCCAGCCAGCUGCAGAU
Bacillus sp. B-jedd is the source of this 88-nucleotide regulatory RNA element. It matches the Rfam family "c-di-GMP-I riboswitch aptamer". Rfam says of the family: GEMM was predicted in a large-scale screen for bacterial structured RNA regulatory elements. The record is from Rfam. NCBI's taxonomy places the organism in Bacteria, Bacillati, Bacillota, Bacilli, Caryophanales, Bacillaceae.